This 482-nucleotide ribosomal RNA is filed under the name uncultured bacterium. RNAcentral describes it as "partial 16S ribosomal RNA". It matches the Rfam family "Bacterial small subunit ribosomal RNA", at positions 30 to 507 of the family's 1533-position model. The record is from RNAcentral.
AUUGAACGCUGGCGGCAUGCCUUACACAUGCAAGUCGAACGGUAACAGGUCUUCGGAUGCUGACGAGUGGCGAACGGGUGAGUAAUACAUCGGAACGUGCCCGAUCGUGGGGGAUAACGGAGCGAAAGCUUUGCUAAUACCGCAUACGAUCUACGGAUGAAAGCAGGGGACCGCAAGGCCUUGCGCGGACGGAGCGGCCGAUGGCAGAUUAGGUAGUUGGUGGGAUAAAAGCUUACCAAGCCGACGAUCUGUAGCUGGUCUGAGAGGACGACCAGCCACACUGGGACUAAGACACGGCCCAGACUCCUACGGGAGGCAGCAGUGGGGAAUUUUGGACAAUGGGCGAAAGCCUGAUCCAGCCAUGCCGCGUGCAGGAUGAAGGCCUUCGGGUUGUAAACUGCUUUUGUACGGAACGAAAAGACUCUUUCUAAUAAAGAGGGUCCAUGACGGUACCGUAAGAAUAAGCACCGGCUAACUACGUG